AUGUCAAGAGAGAAUGAUAAACUUUACUUCAUUGAUUAUGAAUAUGCAUCAUACAACUACAGAGGCUAUGACAUAGGGAAUCACUUUGCAGAAUAUGCCGGUUUUGUGAAUGUGACUACUCCUUGUACCCAAAUAUGAAUGAACAAUAUCAUUUCUUCAGGCAUUACUUACAGCCGGACAGACCUCAAGAGGUAACAAUCAUAGUGAAGGGGAUUAAUAUUUAA
Non-coding RNA from Vicia faba (fava bean), 224 nucleotides. The record is from the annotation of a GenBank genome assembly. NCBI's taxonomy places the organism in Eukaryota, Viridiplantae, Streptophyta, Magnoliopsida, Fabales, Fabaceae.